RNAcentral lists this transfer RNA (73 nucleotides) under Stegodyphus mimosarum. It matches the Rfam family "tRNA". Rfam says of the family: Transfer RNA (tRNA) molecules are approximately 80 nucleotides in length. Their secondary structure includes four short double-helical elements and three loops (D, anti-codon, and T loops). Further hydrogen bonds mediate the characteristic L-shaped molecular structure. tRNAs have two regions of fundamental functional importance: the anti-codon, which is responsible for specific mRNA codon recognition, and the 3' end, to which the tRNAs corresponding amino acid is attached (by aminoacyl-tRNA synthetases). tRNAs cope with the degeneracy of the genetic code in two manners: having more than one tRNA (with a specific anti-codon) for a particular amino acid; and 'wobble' base-pairing, i.e. permitting non-standard base-pairing at the 3rd anti-codon position. The record is from Rfam by way of RNAcentral. Lineage: Eukaryota; Metazoa; Arthropoda; Arachnida; Araneae; Eresidae.
GCCUUCGUGGUGAAAAGGUCAGCACACUGAGCCGGUAUUUCAGAGGUCCGCGGUUCGAUCCCCGGCGAAGGCA